This 251-nucleotide ribosomal RNA is filed under the name uncultured Eubacterium sp. Its description in RNAcentral is "partial 16S ribosomal RNA". It matches the Rfam family "Bacterial small subunit ribosomal RNA", at positions 93 to 339 of the family's 1533-position model. The record is from RNAcentral. Lineage: Bacteria; Bacillati; Bacillota; Clostridia; Eubacteriales; Eubacteriaceae.
CAGUGGCGAACGGGUGAGUAACACGUAGGUAACCUGCCCAUGUGCCCGGGACAACGCCUGGAAACGGGUGCUAAAACCGGAUAGGUAGAGAGAUCGCAUGAACUUUCUAUUAAAGGGGCUACGGCCCUGAACAUGGAUGGACCUGCGGUGCAUUAGCUAGUUGGUGAGGUAACGGCCCACCAAGGCGACGAUGCAUAGCCGACCUGAGAGGGCGAACGGCCACAUUGGGACUGAGACACGGCCCAAACUCC